This is a long non-coding RNA of Syngnathoides biaculeatus (alligator pipefish), 531 nucleotides long. RefSeq lists it as uncharacterized. The transcript has 3 exons. Lineage: Eukaryota; Metazoa; Chordata; Actinopteri; Syngnathiformes; Syngnathidae. The record is from RefSeq and is a predicted model, not a curated record.
GGCCUAUGAAGCAGUUGGGCACAUGUCUGAGAAAGCAGCAUGGCUAAAUGACACAUGGCUCUGCUCUCACCAUGGCUAAUGAAACACAUCCAACUGCAGUGAGCAGCUGUGGUUUUGGAGCUGAAGAACCGUCCGAGUCCAAGAUCUCCUAGCUUCACUACUCCUGUAGCUGUAAUGAAUACAUUGGCUGGCUUGAUGUCUGACGGAGAAAGGAGUCAGGUUAGGACUGUGAGAGAAAACCAUAGUACCCGGACAAAACCCACUGAGACACCCAAAGAACAGAAGCCAGAUUUGAAUCCACAACUUCAGAGCUGUAAGACAGAUGUGCUACCUGUUAAUCAUGCCACCAUGUAGCCAACCAGUCAAACAGUAUUGAGUUGCCACAUUUCUUUUUCACACCUGGUUUUGUAUAAAAAAUAUUUUGUUCUUUUCCAUGAACAAACUAUUUGCCUGCACCAUAAAUUUGUAUUCUUAUACAAAUGAUGGCCAACAAUGCAUGAACAACAAUAAAUCUACUCCCGAAAACACAAA